GAUGAACGCUAGCGGCAGGCCUAAUACAUGCAAGUCGAACAGAUAUAUGUUUUUCGGAAUAUAUAUUAGUGGCGCACGGGUGAGUAACACGUACAUAACUUGCCCUCAAGCGGGGGAUAGCCUUGGGAAACUGAGAGUAAUACCCCAUAGAAUUAUUGGACGGCAUCGUUUGAUAAUUAAAACUACGGUGUUUGGGGAUAGAUGUGCGUCUGAUUAGCUAGUUGGUGAGGUAACUGCUCACCAAGGCGACGAUCAGUAGGGGGCGUGAGAGCGUGGCCCCCCCACACGGGUACUGAGACACGGACCCGACUCCUACGGGAGGCAGCAGUAAGGAAUAUUGGUCAAUGGAGGGAACUCUGAACCAGCCAUGCCGCGUGAAGGAUAACGGCCCUCUGGGUUGUAAACGUUCUUUUGGUAGUGGGUCGGAAAAAACGGGAAAGUUUAUUCCU
RNAcentral lists this ribosomal RNA (449 nucleotides) under uncultured bacterium. RNAcentral describes it as "bacterial SSU rRNA". It matches the Rfam family "Bacterial small subunit ribosomal RNA", at positions 28 to 468 of the family's 1533-position model. The record is from RNAcentral.